AGAGCUGAAGAAGAGAAAUGUCUCUAUACACUAUCAAUCUUGAGGUCAACUAUAGUACAAGUUGAGAAACUUGCAUUUGUUGUAAUUCUGUUGUCAGAAUUGCAAAUGGGCGAAAGUCAGCCAGGUAAUGUACUUUUCCUUUUAUUGUU
Molecule: long non-coding RNA, 149 nt
Organism: Ipomoea triloba (trilobed morning glory)
Lineage: Eukaryota; Viridiplantae; Streptophyta; Magnoliopsida; Solanales; Convolvulaceae
Exons: 2
Source: RefSeq, a predicted model, not a curated record